Molecule: non-coding RNA, 107 nt
Organism: Capsicum annuum
Lineage: Eukaryota; Viridiplantae; Streptophyta; Magnoliopsida; Solanales; Solanaceae
Source: Rfam
UGAUAAUGGUGAGGGAAAUUUUAGAGUAUACUUUUAAAUCUCUCCCAAGAUUGGUAGAUAUUCUCUCCUUCAUUUAGUGUGAAACUCUGAAUCUCACUUCUUAAACA